Molecule: ribosomal RNA, 253 nt
Filed under: uncultured bacterium
Lineage: Bacteria
Description: partial 16S ribosomal RNA
Rfam family: Bacterial small subunit ribosomal RNA
Source: RNAcentral
UACGUAGGGCGCAAGCGUUGUCCGGAAUCAUUGGGCGUAAAGAGCUUGUAGGCGGCCACUUAAGUCCUGCGUGAAAUCUUGCGGCUCAACCGCAAGCGGUCGUGGGAAACUGGGUGGCUAGAGUGCGGGAGAGGAGAGUGGAAUUCCUGGUGUAGCGGUGGAAUGCGCAGAUAUCAGGAAGAACACCCGUGGCGAAGGCGGCUCUCUGGAACGCAACUGACGCUGAGACGCGAAAGCGUGGGGAGCAAACAGG